UACGAAGGGGGCUAGCGUUGCUCGGAAUCACUGGGCGUAAAGCGCACGUAGGCGGCUUUUUAAGUCAGGGGUGAAAUCCUGGAGCUCAACUCCAGAACUGCCUUUGAUACUGAGAAGCUUGAGUCCGGGAGAGGUGAGUGGAACUGCGAGUGUAGAGGUGAAAUUCGUAGAUAUUCGCAAGAACACCAGUGGCGAAGGCGGCUCACUGGCCCGGUACUGACGCUGAGGUGCGAAAGCGUGGGGAGCAACAGG
RNAcentral lists this ribosomal RNA (252 nucleotides) under uncultured bacterium. Its description in RNAcentral is "partial 16S ribosomal RNA". It matches the Rfam family "Bacterial small subunit ribosomal RNA", at positions 524 to 775 of the family's 1533-position model. The record is from RNAcentral.